AGGGAACGACGAUAAACGAGACGAACAACAAUAAUGACUCUGAUACUGGCUUGGACUACUCUGCAGGUGACGUGAAAAGGAUCAAGGACAAGAGUAAAGGAAAGGUUGGGGGAGAGAAACAUUGCAUUGAAUCUCAGGACCACAAAUGCAGAACCACACCGGAAAAAGAAAAAUACAUUAAACAAAGACCUAACUCGGAGAAAGCAAAGGAGACCCAGCAGAAAGAGAAGAAGAGCACCCAUCCAGCUGUGGCGGCCCUGCAGCUGUUCACUCUCUUCUGCUGUGGUGGGAAAGUCAAGCUGAGGAAGACUCGUCCCUCUCAGAACAGACAGAGUAGAAAGGACCAGAACAAAGAUAAUGCAUCUGAUACUGGCUCGGACUUGUCUGGAGGUGAUGUUACAACCAAAAGGGUAAAGGACAAGAGUAAGGGAAAGGUGGGGAGGGAGAAAGACCAGACUGAAUUUCAGCUGUUGAAAUCAUCUCAAGACCACAAACCCAUAAGUACAACACCAGAAACAGACAAGGGAACUAAUUCGGGACAAAGACCUAACUCUGUGAGACAACCAAACAUGCUAUAUCAUAUUUUAUUGUGAGCAAAAUAUCUUUCCCAUAAUGCUGUGUCAUCAUUGGGUGUUACAAUUGUGUUAUGCAGGAAAAUCGAAGGACACCCCGGCAAGUGAAGACCCCUGUGGAGGAAAUUUACAUAAGACCUGACUCUCCGACUCUACCACGUGCCCACAGCUCCCUCUCUCAGUUUUCCCUGGCAAGGAACCUGCCCAUCCACCUGUUGGAGUGGCAGCUACCUGGAGUCCCUCUGACCACCUCGUCUAUGGCAACUAGGACAGAGAGAAAGCCAUCCUCUACCAACACUUCGACACACGCACAGAUGGAAACACAGACAACAGAUAUGAACACAGACUCACAGACCACUGCCACCUCUCAGAGCCAGAUCUCCACGGUCUCAUCGGAGACCAUGAUAGAUGUUCACACGUCAGACUCCAUUACCCAGACCUCCACUCUUGACAUGGCCCUGACACCUGACAGCACUAAGGACAUGAUCACU
RNAcentral lists this long non-coding RNA (1063 nucleotides) under Salmo salar (Atlantic salmon). RNAcentral describes it as "lncRNA (ENSSSAG00000113190.1)". Lineage: Eukaryota; Metazoa; Chordata; Actinopteri; Salmoniformes; Salmonidae. The record is from RNAcentral.